RNAcentral lists this ribosomal RNA (521 nucleotides) under Babesia sp. deer clade. Its description in RNAcentral is "SSU rRNA". It matches the Rfam family "Eukaryotic small subunit ribosomal RNA", at positions 522 to 1094 of the family's 1831-position model. Lineage: Eukaryota; Apicomplexa; Aconoidasida; Piroplasmida; Babesiidae. The record is from RNAcentral.
GACCUAAACCCUCACCAGAGUAACAAUUGGAGGGCAAGUCUGGUGCCAGCAGCCGCGGUAAUUCCAGCUCCAAUAGCGUAUAUUAAACUUGUUGCAGUUAAAAAGCUCGUAGUUGAAUUUUUGCGUCACCGUGUAUCGACAUUUGUCGUUUAUCGGUUUCGCUUUUGGGAUUUAUCCCUUUUUACUUUGAGAAAAUUAGAGUGUUUCAAGCAGACUUUUGUCUUGAAUACUUCAGCAUGGAAUAAUAGAGUAGGACUUUGGUUCUAUUUUGUUGGUUUGUGAACCUUAGUAAUGGUUAAUAGGAACGGUUGGGGGCAUUCGUAUUUAACUGUCAGAGGUGAAAUUCUUAGAUUUGUUAAAGACGAACUACUGCGAAAGCAUUUGCCAAGGACGUUUUCAUUAAUCAAGAACGAAAGUUAGGGGAUCGAAGACGAUCAGAUACCGUCGUAGUCCUAACCAUAAACUAUGCCGACUAGGGAUUGGAGGUCGUCAUUUUUCCGACUCCUUCAGCACCUUGAGAG